Non-coding RNA from Paramuricea clavata, 429 nucleotides. The record is from the annotation of a GenBank genome assembly. Lineage: Eukaryota; Metazoa; Cnidaria; Anthozoa; Malacalcyonacea; Plexauridae.
AUGAACUUACAGCAAGCAAUAUUAGUCAAUUUGCAUUUCUUAGAAGGGACCCAGAGAUUGGACGAACCUGUAUCAAAAAGAAUGUUGAAGUUUUGCGGUGGAGUUCCAAUUGUAAUUGGUCCAUAGUACUGUGCAUCCAUGUAAUUGUUAAGUGGCUCAUCUGGUGAGCCAAGUCUGUUAUUUGAGUAUUUUGUAUUUAAGCCUAAUUUGCCUUCCAAAUCUUUCUCUGAGACAUUUAUUUCCUUUAAUUGUGAGCGAAUUGUACGAAAUUUGGUAAGUGGUAUCCUAUAAAAAAGAACACAAAGCAUUUGAUUAAUGUCCAACACUUUCAAGCUCAGUAGCUAAACAUAUGGUCUUGCGUACUUUAUGCAAAUUUCAUCUCCAGAUGAAAAAAAUAAAUAUAGAAUAAAAUAUAUUUCGAAAUAAUGC